GACGGAGGGUGCUAGCGUUGUUCGGAUUUACUGGGCGUAAAGGGCGCGUAGGCGGCCCUGUCAGUCGGGUGUGAAAUCCCCGGGCUCAACCUGGGAACUGCAUCCGAAACUGCCUUGCUAGAGUAUGGGAGAGGGAAGUGGAAUUUCCGGUGUAGCGGUGAAAUGCGUAGAUAUCGGAAGGAACAUCAGUGGCGAAGGCGACUUCCUGGACCAAUACUGACGCUCAGGUGCGAAAGCGUGGGGAGCAAACAGG
This 253-nucleotide ribosomal RNA is filed under the name uncultured bacterium. RNAcentral's name for it is "partial 16S ribosomal RNA". It matches the Rfam family "Bacterial small subunit ribosomal RNA", at positions 524 to 776 of the family's 1533-position model. The record is from RNAcentral.